Cydia splendana is the source of this 781-nucleotide long non-coding RNA. RefSeq lists it as uncharacterized. The transcript is spliced from 4 exons. NCBI's taxonomy places the organism in Eukaryota, Metazoa, Arthropoda, Insecta, Lepidoptera, Tortricidae. The record is from RefSeq and is a predicted model, not a curated record.
AACAUAAUAUUUUUCAUCACACUUGCUCAGUAAAUGUGGAAUUGCACGCAGGUUUAGCGGGAGUUAUAGAAAAAGCGUUUUCCUUAGGGAGUUAUGAAGUUUCUAGUGCCAUAAUUAACAGUUUUUUUUCUUAAAACUUAAUUUUCGUAUCGCAAGUGUGAUGAAAAACAUUGUGUUUUACUCGGGGCGUAAUAAUAUUGCAAACUCGAGUCUAUAAAUCGCUCCGGCAAGCCGUCGCGAUUUAACUAUACUCUCGUUUGCAAUAUUUAACUUACGCCCAAUGUUGCACAAUGUACUAAUUAUUUUGUUGCGCUCAUUAUUUGACAGUUGCCCUCAACGUUGCGAACGCUAAGCAGCGCUGCCAUCGUUCACGGUCCCAAUAAUUAUGUGUAUCUAAAUGUAGGUAAUUAUAUAAAUUGGUAUUUCAUGUCUGAUAGCAAUCUUAAUUUUACAGAAUGAUUUAGUCGACGUGGUAAUCGAAGAGACAGAGGAGGACAGUCCAUCAAUAUUACAAUUAUUUCCCAAUAACUGGAAUCAACCGGGAACCUCGGCUCAAUCCACGUAUCUUCCAGGUCUUCUUGUGGCUAGUGAAGCGAACCAGACCCUCCACGGACAGGAAGAUGGACUACAUAUGAAUAGUGACAGAACUCUGACAAUUUCUAGUGCUGGUGCCAGUCAGUGUGUGCUGCAGACCCUGAAUGGACUGGAUAGCUUUGGCAGGAUCGCAGAGCUCAGAACUCAGUCGGUUGCCGGUGCUAAUACUAUCCGUGAUGGUGGCAAG